Molecule: long non-coding RNA, 715 nt
Organism: Solanum dulcamara
Lineage: Eukaryota; Viridiplantae; Streptophyta; Magnoliopsida; Solanales; Solanaceae
Exons: 2
Source: RefSeq, a predicted model, not a curated record
CCUUUAAUAUAAUCAUGGAAUACGAUUGACAACCCAACAUUCAACGCAUGCGGGUGAACAAAGCAAAGUUGGAUGGUAUUAGAAUAAUAAGGAAAAAUGUCAGGUGAUGGGUUAUUGACUUCUCCUCAGUCCUCGCCUAUCUCUUCCUCCCAUUUUUUCCUUUUCCCCUAAACCGGACAAACAAAGACCCUCUUCUCCUCGCUCGACUGGAGAUCCAGCUAGGAGACACGCACCAAAACAGAAAGAAAAAAAUAAAGCAGAAUGUCCUGCGAAAAGAUUGACGGCCUGGCUAGGUGGUUCGGCACGAGUGUCGCCUCGGCAUUCUUCGCCUCGUUGGAGCGAUGUGCUUGUGUCAAUCUCACAACCUAUGCCUCUGAUGAUGAGGAAGAGGAAGAAGCUAAAGAUCGCCCUCUCUUUAUGAACAAUUUGCCUUCUCAUGUUGAUCCUUGCGCUAGGACUAACAAUUCUCCCUCCGUUGACAACCUACCUAUUUGACUCUUCUGAACUGGCAUCACCAACUUCGUCAUAUUAAUCCCCUGGCUCCAAACAGAGGAAAUGGAAAUGUAAUUCUGGUAUCAACUGUAAUAUUUUUUUUCCCUUAUAGACUGAUUUUCCCCUUGAAGUGUUGUAUGAGGCGUUUGUCCAUUGGCAUUUUCGUUACAAGGUCAAACAUUUAAGCACGAACAAGACGCCUUUUAUUGUUCCUUUACCUUGA